This 137-nucleotide ribosomal RNA is filed under the name uncultured bacterium. RNAcentral's name for it is "partial 16S ribosomal RNA". It matches the Rfam family "Bacterial small subunit ribosomal RNA", at positions 355 to 507 of the family's 1533-position model. The record is from RNAcentral.
UGGGGAAUAUUGGGCAAUGGACGCAAGUCUGACCCAGCAACGCCGCGUGAAGGAAGAAGGCUUUCGGGUUGUAAACUUCUUUUAAGGGGGAAGAGCAGAAGACGGUACCCCUUGAAUAAGCCACGGCUAACUACGUG